UGAACGCUGGCGGCAGGCCUAACACAUCAAUCGAGCGGAUGAUGGGAGCUUGCUCCCGGAUUCAGCGGCGGACGGGUGAGUAAUGCCUAGGAAUCUGCCUGGUAGUGGGGGACAACGUUUCGAAAGGAACGCUAAUACCGCAUACGUCCUACGGGAGAAAGCAGGGGACCUUCGGGCCUUGCGCUAUCAGAUGAGCCUAGGUCGGAUUAGCUAGUUGGUGGGGUAAAGGCCUACCAAGGCGACGAUCCGUAACUGGUCUGAGAGGAUGAUCAGUCACACUGGAACUGAGACACGGUCCAGACUCCUACGGGAGGCAGCAGUGGGGAAUAUUGGACAAUGGGCGAAAGCCUGAUCCAGCCAUGCCGCGUGUGUGAAGAAGGUCUUCGGAUUGUAAAGCACUUUAAGUUGGGAGGAAGGGCAGUAAGUUAAUACCUUGCUGUUUAGACGUUACCAACAGAAUAAGCACCGCAAC
This 472-nucleotide ribosomal RNA is filed under the name Pseudomonas sp. BZ1. RNAcentral's name for it is "bacterial SSU rRNA". It matches the Rfam family "Bacterial small subunit ribosomal RNA", at positions 30 to 501 of the family's 1533-position model. Lineage: Bacteria; Pseudomonadati; Pseudomonadota; Gammaproteobacteria; Pseudomonadales; Pseudomonadaceae. The record is from RNAcentral.